Molecule: long non-coding RNA, 352 nt
Filed under: Nicotiana benthamiana
Lineage: Eukaryota; Viridiplantae; Streptophyta; Magnoliopsida; Solanales; Solanaceae
Description: long non-coding RNA (NBEN_LNC030010)
Source: RNAcentral
UGCUUAACGGCAUAAACUUUAAGGAAUGGAAAGAGAACAUUAUGAUAGUUCUCGGUUGCAUGGAUCUAGACCUUGCNNNNNNNNNNNNNNAGAGAACAUUAUGAUCGUUCUCGGUUGCAUGGAUCUAGACCUUGCACUUCGGAUUGAGCAACCUGCUUCUCUUGAGGAUACAUCUUCUUCUGAUGAAAAGUGGGAGAUGGAGAAGUGGGAACGCUCAAAUCGCAUGAGUCUAAUGAUCAUGAAACGUGCAAUCCAGAAUCAUUCAGGGGCACUAUGAAUGAUGAAAGAAAUGCCAAAGUUUUCCUUGAAAACCUUGAAAAGCGUUUUGCACAAAACAAAAAGGCGGAAACAA